GCAAUACAUUGCUUUCAGAGGGCUCGCUCAUCGUUAUUUGAUAGUAAUCGCACCUGAAAUAUGUCAAGUAAUGAUGGGCGUAUACCUCCCGGCAAGGUCAAACUCAAUAACAUUGUG
RNAcentral lists this non-coding RNA (117 nucleotides) under Drosophila pseudoobscura. The record is from miRBase by way of RNAcentral. Lineage: Eukaryota; Metazoa; Arthropoda; Insecta; Diptera; Drosophilidae. RNAcentral also lists the same sequence under 1 other name.